UACGUAGGGUGCAAGCGUUAAUCGGAAUUACUGGGCGUAAAGCGUGCGCAGGCGGUUUUGUAAGACCGAUGUGAAAUCCCCGGGCUUAACCUGGGAACUGCAUUGGUGACUGCAAGGCUAGAGUGUGUCAGAGGGAGGUGGAAUUCCACGUGUAGCAGUGAAAUGCGUAGAGAUGUGGAGGAACACCGAUGGCGAAGGCAGCCUCCUGGGAUAACACUGACGCUCAUGCACGAAAGCGUGGGGAGCAAACAGG
This 253-nucleotide ribosomal RNA is filed under the name uncultured bacterium. Its description in RNAcentral is "partial 16S ribosomal RNA". It matches the Rfam family "Bacterial small subunit ribosomal RNA", at positions 524 to 776 of the family's 1533-position model. The record is from RNAcentral.